This 465-nucleotide ribosomal RNA is filed under the name Vreelandella stevensii. Its description in RNAcentral is "partial 16S ribosomal RNA". It matches the Rfam family "Bacterial small subunit ribosomal RNA", at positions 338 to 795 of the family's 1533-position model. Lineage: Bacteria; Pseudomonadati; Pseudomonadota; Gammaproteobacteria; Oceanospirillales; Halomonadaceae. The record is from RNAcentral.
CCUACGGGGUGCAGCAGUGGGGAAUAUUGGACAAUGGGCGAAAGCCUGAUCCAGCCAUGCCGCGUGUGUGAAGAAGGCCUUCGGGUUGUAAAGCACUUUCAGUGGGGAAGAAAGCCUUGGGGCUAAUACCCUCGAGGAAGGACAUCACCCACAGAAGAAGCACCGGCUAACUCCGUGCCAGCAGCCGCGGUAAUACGGAGGGUGCGAGCGUUAAUCGGAAUUACUGGGCGUAAAGCGCGCGUAGGCGGUCUGAUAAGCCGGUUGUGAAAGCCCCGGGCUCAACCUGGGAACGGCAUCCGGAACUGUCAGGCUAGAGUGCAGGAGAGGAAGGUAGAAUUCCCGGUGUAGCGGUGAAAUGCGUAGAGAUCGGGAGGAAUACCAGUGGCGAAGGCGGCCUUCUGGACUGACACUGACGCUGAGGUGCGAAAGCGUGGGUAGCAAACAGGAUUUGAUACCCCAGUAGUC